GGGGUACUGGUUAUUUAGCCACCUGUCCCUUUCUCUCUAAUCAUUAGGUAGGAGCAUAAACAGAAUGAAUCAGUGAAGGUUGGUUAUGUACUGACAUCACCUCCACGGACGGGUCCAGCCAAAGACUUCUGCUUGACAUGCAUUCCAAGGUUGCAACAAAACCAUUAUCAACAUGUAAAACAGAGAAGAUGUGGCCUUCCUUCUUCUGGGGCUUGCAAAGCUCCCUGGAGGCUCUUCGUGUGGCUUAUAAAAGAAUUCUUCCAAUGGUAUAAGAUUCAAGCAAAAAUGUGACAUGAGGUUGUAAUAUCUUACGUUUAUAUGCAGCUAUGUUGUGCAUAAUGUAGGCAAUGUUUGUUCUUCAUUUAUGUUUUUAAAUAUACACAACUUCUUUUGUCUUUGACAAACCAUUUACCUGUAAAGUUUUGUAGUUAAACCUAUCCAUUUAGAGUUACUUCGAAUCAGGUCAAUGGCUUUCAAACAUUUAUGCGGAAAAAAAUAGUUGCCUUUCAUUAACAGCAUGA
This 521-nucleotide long non-coding RNA is filed under the name Mustela putorius furo (domestic ferret). RNAcentral's name for it is "lncRNA (ENSMPUG00000031920.1)". Lineage: Eukaryota; Metazoa; Chordata; Mammalia; Carnivora; Mustelidae. The record is from RNAcentral.